RNAcentral lists this small nucleolar RNA (125 nucleotides) under Echinops telfairi (small Madagascar hedgehog). RNAcentral describes it as "Small nucleolar RNA SNORA61 (ENSETEG00000024602.1)". The record is from RNAcentral. Lineage: Eukaryota; Metazoa; Chordata; Mammalia; Afrosoricida; Tenrecidae.
CCCCUUAGGUAGGAUUCCUUGUCCCUCAGAUCUAAAUAUUGGUCUGAGUGGCUAAAAAAGAAGGGAAAGUAAAACUGAAGUGGACUUGGAAUCUUUAAUAACUUACAAGCUCAUUUCAAACAUAG